CCUACGGGAGGCUGCAGUGGGGAAUAUUGGGCAAUGGGCGCAAGCCUGACCCAGCAACGCCGCGUGAAGGAAGAAGGCCUUCGGGUUGUAAACUUCUUUUUUCAGGGACGAAGCAAGUGACGGUACUUGCGGAAUAAGCCACGGUUAACUACGUGCCAGCAGCCGCGGUAAUACGUAGGUGGCAAGCGUUAUCCGGAUUUACUGGGUGUAAAGGGCGGGUAGGCGGGAAGGCAAGUCAGAUGUGAAAACCAUGGGCUCAACCUGUGGCCUGCAUUUGAAACUGUUUUGCUUGAGUACUGGAGAGGCAGACGGAAUUCCUGGUGUAGCGGUGAAAUGCGUAGAUAUUAGGAGGAACACCGGUGGCGAAGGCGGUCUGCUGGACAGCAACUGACGCUGAGGCGCGAAAGCGUGGGGAGCAAACAGGAUUAGAUACCCGAGUAGUC
RNAcentral lists this ribosomal RNA (443 nucleotides) under uncultured bacterium. Its description in RNAcentral is "partial 16S ribosomal RNA". It matches the Rfam family "Bacterial small subunit ribosomal RNA", at positions 338 to 795 of the family's 1533-position model. The record is from RNAcentral.